This 468-nucleotide ribosomal RNA is filed under the name uncultured bacterium. RNAcentral describes it as "partial 16S ribosomal RNA". It matches the Rfam family "Bacterial small subunit ribosomal RNA", at positions 28 to 507 of the family's 1533-position model. The record is from RNAcentral.
GACGAACGCUGGCGGCGUGCUUAGCACAUGCAAGUCGAACGGAAAGGCCCUGCUUUUGUGGUGUGCUCGAGUGGCGAACGGGUGAGUAACACGUGAGUAACCUGCCCUUGACUUUGGGAUAACUUCAGGAAACUGGGGCUAAUACCGGAUAGGAGCUCCUGCUGCAUGGUGGGGGGUGGAAAGUUGCGGCGGUUGGGGAUGAACUCGCGGCUUAUCAGCUUGUUGGUGGGGUAGUGGCUUACCAAGGCUUUGACGGGUAGCCGGCCCGAGAGGGUGACCGGCGUCAAUAGAACUAAGAUACGGACCAGACUCCUACAGGAGGCAACAGUGGGGAAUAUUGCACAAUGGGCGGAAGUCUGAUGCAGAAGCGCCGCGUGCGGGAUGCCGUCCUUCGGGUUGUGAACCGCUUUCGGCUAUGACGAAGCGUGAGUGACGGUAAUGAAAAAAGAAGCACCGGCUAACUACGUG